Molecule: ribosomal RNA, 503 nt
Filed under: Oreina speciosa
Lineage: Eukaryota; Metazoa; Arthropoda; Insecta; Coleoptera; Chrysomelidae
Description: partial 16S ribosomal RNA
Rfam family: Bacterial large subunit ribosomal RNA
Source: RNAcentral
UUUUGUAGAUAAUUUAAGGUCUAGCCUGCCCACUGAAAUUUUAAAUGGCCGUGGUAUUUUGACCGUGCUAAGGUAGCAUAAUCAUUAGUUUUUUAAUUAAAAACUGGAAUGAAAGGUUGGAUGAGAAAAUAGCUGUCUCUAUUAAAUUUAAUUAGAAUUUUAUUUUUAAGUUAAAAAGCUUAAUUAUUAUUAAAAGACGAGAAGACCCUAUAGAGUUUAAUUAUUUAGUAAAAAUUAUAUUUUAGUAUUAAUUUAUUUAUUUUAUUAAAUAAUUUAAUUGGGGUGAUUGAAAAAUUUAAUUAACUUUUUUUAUUUAAGAACAUUAAUUUAUGAAUAAAUGAUCCAAUAUUUUCGAUUAUAAGAUAAAAUUACCUUAGGGAUAACAGCGUAAUUUUUUUAGAAAGUUCAUAUUAAAAAGAAAGAUUGCGACCUCGAUGUUGGAUUAAAAUAAAUUUUUGGUGUAGAAGCUAAAAUAUUAGGUCUGUUCGACCUUUAAAAUUUUA